GGCAGAAUAGCUCAGUUGGAUACCUUCGGGUUAGAGCAUCUCACAUGAAAUGAGAAGGUCCUGCCUGGGUUCAAUCCCCGGUUCAGCCA
Molecule: non-coding RNA, 89 nt
Organism: Mycena epipterygia
Lineage: Eukaryota; Fungi; Basidiomycota; Agaricomycetes; Agaricales; Mycenaceae
Source: the annotation of a GenBank genome assembly